RNAcentral lists this ribosomal RNA (1372 nucleotides) under uncultured bacterium. RNAcentral's name for it is "bacterial SSU rRNA". It matches the Rfam family "Bacterial small subunit ribosomal RNA", at positions 28 to 1381 of the family's 1533-position model. The record is from RNAcentral.
GAUGAACGCUGGCGGCGUGCCUAAUACAUGCAAGUCGAGCGAACGGACGAGAAGCUUGCUUCUCUGAUGUUAGCGGCGGACGGGUGAGUAACACGUGGAUAACCUACCUAUAAGACUGGGAUAACUUCGGGAAACCGGAGCUAAUACCGGAUAAUAUUUUGAACCGCAUGGUUCAAAAGUGAAAGACGGUCUUGCUGUCACUUAUAGAUGGAUCCGCGCUGCAUUAGCUAGUUGGUAAGGUAACGGCUUACCAAGGCAACGAUGCAUAGCCGACCUGAGAGGGUGAUCGGCCACACUGGAACUGAGACACGGUCCAGACUCCUACGGGAGGCAGCAGUAGGGAAUCUUCCGCAAUGGGCGAAAGCCUGACGGAGCAACGCCGCGUGAGUGAUGAAGGUCUUCGGAUCGUAAAACUCUGUUAUUAGGGAAGAACAUAUGUGUAAGUAACUGUGCACAUCUUGACGGUACCUAAUCAGAAAGCCACGGCUAACUACGUGCCAGCAGCCGCGGUAAUACGUAGGUGGCAAGCGUUAUCCGGAAUUAUUGGGCGUAAAGCGCGCGUAGGCGGUUUUUUAAGUCUGAUGUGAAAGCCCACGGCUCAACCGUGGAGGGUCAUUGGAAACUGGAAAACUUGAGUGCAGAAGAGGAAAGUGGAAUUCCAUGUGUAGCGGUGAAAUGCGCAGAGAUAUGGAGGAACACCAGUGGCGAAGGCGACUUUCUGGUCUGUAACUGACGCUGAUGUGCGAGAGCGUGGGGAUCAAACAGGAUUAGAUACCCUGGUAGUCCACGCCGUAAACGAUGAGUGCUAAGUGUUAGGGGGUUUCCGCCCCUUAGUGCUGCAGCUAACGCAUUAAGCACUCCGCCUGGGGAGUACGACCGCAAGGUUGAAACUCAAAGGAAUUGACGGGGACCCGCACAAGCGGUGGAGCAUGUGGUUUAAUUCGAAGCAACGCGAAGAACCUUACCAAAUCUUGACAUCCUUUGACAACUCUAGAGAUAGAGCCUUCCCCUUCGGGGGACAAAGUGACAGGUGGUGCAUGGUUGUCGUCAGCUCGUGUCGUGAGAUGUUGGGUUAAGUCCCGCAACGAGCGCAACCCUUAAGCUUAGUUGCCAUCAUUAAGUUGGGCACUCUAAGUUGACUGCCGGUGACAAACCGGAGGAAGGUGGGGAUGACGUCAAAUCAUCAUGCCCCUUAUGAUUUGGGCUACACACGUGCUACAAUGGACAAUACAAAGGGCAGCGAAACCGCGAGGUCAAGCAAAUCCCAUAAAGUUGUUCUCAGUUCGGAUUGUAGUCUGCAACUCGACUACAUGAAGCUGGAAUCGCUAGUAAUCGUAGAUCAGCAUGCUACGGUGAAUACGUUCCCGGGUCU